GAUGAACGCUAGCGGGAGGCCUAACACAUGCAAGCCGAGCGGUAGAGUUUCUUCGGAAACUUGAGAGCGGCGCACGGGUGCGUAACACGUGUGCAACCUACCUUUAUCUGGGGGAUAGCCUUUCGAAAGGAAGAUUAAUACCCCAUAAUAUAAUGAUUGGCAUCAAUUAUUAUUGAAAACUCCGGUGGAUAGAGAUGGGCACGCGCAAGAUUAGAUAGUUGGUGAGGUAACGGCUCACCAAGUCAAUGAUCUUUAGGGGUCCUGAGAGGGAGAUCCCCCACACUGGUACUGAGACACGGACCAGACUCCUACAGGAGGCAGCAGUGAGGAAUAUUGGACAAUGGGUGAGAGCCUGAUCCAGCCAUCCCGCGUGAAGGAUGACGGUCCUAUGGAUUGUAAACUUCUUUUGUACAGGGAUAAACCUACCCUCGUGAGGGUAGCUGAAGGUACUGUACGAAUAAGCACCGGCUAACUCCGUG
This 479-nucleotide ribosomal RNA is filed under the name uncultured bacterium. RNAcentral's name for it is "partial 16S ribosomal RNA". It matches the Rfam family "Bacterial small subunit ribosomal RNA", at positions 28 to 507 of the family's 1533-position model. The record is from RNAcentral.